CGACCGGCGCACGGGUGAGUAACGCGUAUCCAACCUGCCUUACACUCUUGGACAGCCUUCUGAAAGGGAGAUUAAUACAAGAUGUUAUCAUGAGUAAGCACUUUCGCAUGAUUAAAGGUUUACCGGUGUAAGAUGGGGAUGCGUUCCAUUAGAUAGUAGGCGGGGUAACGGCCCACCUAGUCUUCGAUGGAUAGGGGUUCUGAGAGGAAGGUCCCCCACAUUGGAACUGAGACACGGUCCAA
Molecule: ribosomal RNA, 242 nt
Filed under: uncultured bacterium
Lineage: Bacteria
Description: partial 16S ribosomal RNA
Rfam family: Bacterial small subunit ribosomal RNA
Source: RNAcentral